This is a long non-coding RNA of Colius striatus (speckled mousebird), 2443 nucleotides long. RefSeq lists it as uncharacterized. The record is from RefSeq and is a predicted model, not a curated record. NCBI's taxonomy places the organism in Eukaryota, Metazoa, Chordata, Aves, Coliiformes, Coliidae. The transcript is spliced from 3 exons.
UGGAAAUGCAGCAGUUUUUGCCAAAUGCCUGAGCACUACGACUGAGUAACGGCUCCAUGGUUAAGGUGGAACUAACAGCCAGAUUUCUGCCACGAUUCUUUCGGAUCGCGGCAGGGCACUCCCCGGGCAGGAGGCGAACCCGCUCCUCCGCCCACAACUGGCCUCCUUGCUAAGCGGCCGCGCCGGCUGCGGUGGCCUCGCGGCUUGUACUCGGGGCAGAGAUUCCGGAACCGCGGCCGACUUCUCCGUCCGGCGGCAGACGGGCGGCAUGACCGCAGGAAGCCCCGGAGCUGUCAGAGCCCUGACACCACCAGGGUGCAUAAUAAAUGAAGACUGCCAGGCUCAACAAGGUGGAUAUUAGUGCAACCAGCUGUGCUUUGGCUUGUGGGCUCACAAGGGAAGAAAGUGUUCCAGCUGCAGGAGAAGGAGUGCUUUCUCAUCUUUUUCUCAAGCAGCCUAUGGAUAACCUGGAGAAGAGCCAGGACUUGUCUUUUUCUGGAAACGUAGCUGCAGGAAGAAUGAAUCACCAGGUGGAACCUGUAUAACCAACUGAAAACAAAAGCUCAAACUUUUGUGUCUCACGGUUGCAAAUAAUGGGGGGAAAAAUAGGCAUCCUGUUUUGAAAUCCAUUACCAGCUGACAGGACAAAAACAUUGCAUGCAAGAUUGUGUUUUAAAGCUGACAAAUAAUAUAAGACUAUGGCCAUUUAAGGAAAAAAACUGAAGCAAAACAGCAGUUAGAGAAAUAGAAAAUUUCAAUCUUUUUGGGGGAAAAAAACCAACCAAAAAACAGUGAGAUUGUUCAGAACAAAUAAGGUGAAUUUUCGCUAGCCCUAAAUUUUCAUACUUUCAAAUCUUCUGUAUUACGGCUAGCAGAGAACACAUGCAAACUAGGGCCAGAAGCCUGUGUUUCAGAGCAUAAGACAGACUGCAGUGCUAGUGUCAUUGAUUAAAUCUGUCCUUUUGCCUCUGCAGCAAUCUAAGAUGUCAUUGCAGGCAAUGUGGAGGCUUUCCAGCUAGCAUGCAAGCAUCUGGAUCACUGUAGGGAUAUCAACAGCACAAAACGUGUUUCCUUACCUUGGCUUCUCUUUUCUGAUCCUACCUUCAUUUGUGUCUUAAGGUAAAAUAAAACUAGCUUCACAGUUAUCAAAGACUAACGUAGAGUUAACAGAGACUUAGGACCUGAGAAGAGAAUUCUAGAUGUGCUGAAGCCAAGAAAAAUUGAGGCCUGCAAAGCUGUACUUUGUGUACUCUUGGGCAGAGGACUACUAUUUUGAUGUACCAAAUGUUAGAAAUAGCUGUUACUGCAGGACAUGAUACAAAUUUCCUAUGAGGAAAAGGAAAAUGCUUUCCAGUAUUUUAACACAAACAUUAACAUAGAUGCAAGAAAAGUCAAAUUACACGAGUAAGCCCUGCAAUAAGUUUGUUUAGAGCAAAGUUCUGAAGGUUUAAUUCCAACCUCAGGCCAUCAAAGUCUGGAGCACUUCCUAUUAGCUUUAAGGUACCUGAAAUUACUUAGACUUGACUCUUGCUUCUUCUUUACUGUCUUCUAAAGAAUGGAGAAGAAAACCACUGCCAAUACCAUUACAAAUAACAUUAAAACUCCCAUAGUUUUAGUAAACCUGGAUUCUGCUUCAUUGUAACAACCUCCGCACUGAGGCAGGUGCUCUUUUAUCUGUAAGAAUGCUAUAGCUGUUGUCUGCCUGUCCAUAUAAUUGUGGGUUUUUAAAAAAAGUUAGUUGUUGUUAACUUAGUUUUAAAUUAAUACAGUGCAUUGCUUGCACUGUAAUUGCCUCUCCAGUUAUAUAACACUGUGCCUAUGCAGCAUAUUAGAAACGUGGCCAUCUAACAUUAAGCCUCUAGGUCCAUACUCAAGACUCCAAAAAAGUGUGCUUUUUGCAGCAUUUUCCCCGCCCUAGUAUUCCACACACAAGACGUGUUACUGUGGCCCACAACCAUCAACUAGCUGCAAUAAGUACAGAAGGAGGAGGACGGGAAGCACAGUACUGCAGUAUGAUUUCCUUACCACAGCCCUACGCUCACCAGAGCACUGCUGAGGCAGCCCUUCCCAAUAGCCACCCAUCUGCACACCGAUGCCCACUCAUUCACUUAUCAGUUGUGCUUCAGUGGCUUAGAGACUCUCCCGUCACAAGACCUGACCUGUGGCGUCAUAGCGUGGAAGUCCAUUGACUGGUAACGUGGGUAAGGCUGUAGGUCUGUGGACAUCUGAAAGUGCAGCAGUAAGUGGAGGAGUUUUCCAGGAUAUGAGGUGCAGCUGGAACUGCAGUGGUUGUUUAUGAAGAAGAGCUUACUCAUUUUGCUUUUUGUUCCUUAAUUAAAACUUCAGAAUAAUGUCAGCUUUCAGACGCACAAGGCCUUUGAGAGAACAGUCAUGUAACUCCACUAAAAGCAAAGUGAUCUUUCCGUAACAAGAUGUUUUAAUA